UUGGCGGGGAGCUGUAGGGUCUGCUGUUUGCCUGAGAGGGAGGAGAGACGAGCUACUGCUGUCGUGAAAGUUUGAGUCCGUAGGUGGAGGUAACUGACAUUUUACCGGCGUGAUAGUGGAUUUUCUGUGAGCCGGUGGACAGUGUGUGCUGCGCCCUGCUGGCGGCCUUGACCCCUUUCCUCCCACCUGUCCUUUGAACUAUCAGGAGCCGAUUGGAGACUAGAAACACUGUGAGUCAGUCAGCAGACAGAUGAGGACAGCACCGUCCUGACUGCCCACCUCCUUUAAACAAGUGCCUGUUUCA
This is a long non-coding RNA of Oreochromis aureus, 304 nucleotides long. RefSeq lists it as uncharacterized. The record is from RefSeq and is a predicted model, not a curated record. Lineage: Eukaryota; Metazoa; Chordata; Actinopteri; Cichliformes; Cichlidae. The transcript has 3 exons.